Unclassified non-coding RNA from Gorilla gorilla gorilla (western lowland gorilla), 335 nucleotides. Its record names the gene 7SK. It matches the Rfam family "7SK RNA". From Rfam's summary of the family: 7SK was discovered as an abundant small nuclear RNA in the mid-70s but a possible function has only recently been suggested. NCBI's taxonomy places the organism in Eukaryota, Metazoa, Chordata, Mammalia, Primates, Hominidae. The record is from Ensembl.
GAAUGUGAGGGUGAUCUGGCUGCAACAUCCAUCACCCUGUUGACCACCAGCAUUGUUUAGGCUGAUCUGGCUGACUAGGCAGGUAUCCCUUUCUUCCCCCAACACUCCAUGUGCAUCCCUCUGGAGCUUGGAUGAAGAGGAUGACCUUCCCCAAUAGAGGAGGACAUUUCUUGGGUCACGGGUAUUCUAGUAACAGUGUUGCCCUGUUAGAACCUCCAAACAAACUGAUGACUUGAAUUAUCUUUGAUAUAAACAGGGACUACCACUUUUAGGUCACCAACCCAGACAUUCUUUCUAAGUUCCAAAGCUAUGUACUCACUUGGCUACUCAACAUA